This 305-nucleotide ribosomal RNA is filed under the name uncultured bacterium. RNAcentral describes it as "bacterial SSU rRNA". It matches the Rfam family "Bacterial small subunit ribosomal RNA", at positions 337 to 659 of the family's 1533-position model. The record is from RNAcentral.
GCCUACGGGGCGCAGCAGUGGGGAAUAUUGCGCAAUGGGGGAAACCCUGAUGCAGCGACGCUGCGUGAGUGAAGAAGUAUUUCGGUAUGUAAAGCUCUAUCAGCAGGGAAGAAAAUGACGGUACCUGACUAAGAAGCCCCGGCUAACUACGUGCCAGCAGCCGCGGUAAUACGUAGGGGGCAAGCGUUAUCCGGAUUUACUGGGUGUAAAGGGAGCGUAGACGGCGCGGCAAGUCUGAAGUGAAAGGCAGGGGCGUAACCCCUGAACUGCUUUGGAAACUGCCAUGCUAGAGUGCUGGAGAGGUA